UACGUAGGGUGCAAGCGUUGUCCGGAAUUAUUGGGCGUAAAGAGCUCGUAGGCGGUCUGUCGCGUCUGCUGUGAAAACUCGGGGCUUAACCCCGGGCCUGCAGUGGGUACGGGCAGACUAGAGUGCGGUAGGGGAGACUGGAAUUCCUGGUGUAGCGGUGAAAUGCGCAGAUAUCAGGAGGAACACCGGUGGCGAAGGCGGGUCUCUUGGCCGUAACUGACGCUGAGGAGCGAAAGCAUGGGGAGCGAACAGG
RNAcentral lists this ribosomal RNA (253 nucleotides) under uncultured bacterium. RNAcentral's name for it is "partial 16S ribosomal RNA". It matches the Rfam family "Bacterial small subunit ribosomal RNA", at positions 524 to 776 of the family's 1533-position model. The record is from RNAcentral.